AGUGGCGGACGGGUGAGUAACACGUAAGAAUUUGCCUUCAGGAGGGGGACAACAACUGGAAACGGUUGCUAAUACCCCAUAUGCUUUCGAGUGAAAUGGAUUUUUCCGCCUAAAGAGAAGCUUGCGGCUGAUUAGCUUGUUGGUGAGGUAAUGGCUCACCAAGGCGACGAUCAGUAUCUGGUUUGAGAGGAUGAUCAGACACACUGGAACUGAGACACGGUCCAGACUCCUACGGGAGGCAGCAGUGGGGAAUUUUCCGCAAUGGGCGAAAGCCUGACGGAGCAAUCUCGCGUGAGGGAUGACGGCCUAUGGGUUGUAAACCUCUUUUUUCAGGGAGGAACAAAAUGACGUGUACCUGAAGAAUAAGCAUCGGCUAACUCCGUGCCAGCAGCCGCGGUAAGACGGAGGAUGCAAGUGUUAUCCGGAAUCACUGGGCGUAAAGCGUCUGUAGGUGGUUUAAUAAGUCAACUGUUAAAUCUUGAAGCUCAACUUCAAAAUCGCAGUCGAAACUAUUAGACUAGAGUAUAGUAGGGGUAAAGGGAAUUUCCAGUGGAGCGGUGAAAUGCGUAGAUAUUGGAAAGAACACCGAUGGCGAAGGCACUUUACUGGGCUAUUACUGACACUCAGAGACGAAAGCUAGGGUAGCAAAUGGGAUUAGAUACCCCAGUAGUCCUAGCCGUAAACAAUGGAUACUAGAUGU
This 700-nucleotide ribosomal RNA is filed under the name uncultured bacterium. RNAcentral's name for it is "bacterial SSU rRNA". It matches the Rfam family "Bacterial small subunit ribosomal RNA", at positions 94 to 823 of the family's 1533-position model. The record is from RNAcentral.